UACGGGGGGAGCAAGCGUUGUUCGGAUUUACUGGGCGUAAAGGGCGCGUAGGCGGCCACCGCAAGUCGACUGUGAAAUCUCCGGGCUUAACUCGGAACGGUCAGAUGAUACUGCUUUGCUAGAGUACAGAAGGGGCAAUCGGAAUUCUUGGUGUAGCGGUGAAAUGCGUAGAUAUCAAGAGGAACACCUGAGGUGAAGGCGGCUUGCUGGGCAUGAUCUGACGCUGAGGCGCGAAAGCGUGGGGAGCAAACAGG
Molecule: ribosomal RNA, 254 nt
Filed under: uncultured bacterium
Lineage: Bacteria
Description: partial 16S ribosomal RNA
Rfam family: Bacterial small subunit ribosomal RNA
Source: RNAcentral